Mauremys reevesii (Reeves's turtle) is the source of this 440-nucleotide long non-coding RNA. RefSeq lists it as uncharacterized. The record is from RefSeq and is a predicted model, not a curated record. The transcript has 4 exons. NCBI's taxonomy places the organism in Eukaryota, Metazoa, Chordata, Testudines, Geoemydidae.
CCCACCAGUAGGAAGUAGCCAGGGAAACAAGACACUAAUCCUCUUGUAUUAACUGGUGGUGAGGCUGCAGUGGCAUGUUUCCCCGACAACCCAGUGACAGGAUCACCCAUCGCUUUGAGGGCCCUGGCCUAGGUCCUCCAACCCCUGGCCCUGUAGUCAGGGCUGGGUAAAUGGAAGCUUUUGACAAGGUUCCUCACCAAAGGUUUUACGGAAACUAAGCAGUAGUAGGAUAAGAGGGAAGUUCCUCCCAUGCACCUGUAUAUGAUUAAAAGACAGAAAACAAAGAAUGGGAAUAAAUGGGCAUUUGACACUGACCAUAAAUCACCAUUUGCUGUGGGACUUGCAACUUGCUGGCUCCCUGAAAAGAGCAAUUAACUGAAAAUCUAAAACAUGAAAACAUUCCAUUCACCUAAAGGUUGGAAAAUAUUGAUGCUAAACCA